UGGGGAAUAUUGCACAAUGGGCGAAAGCCUGAUGCAGCGACGCCGCGUGGAGGAUGAAGGUCUUCGGAUUGUAAACUCCUGUUGAGUGGGAAAAAAGGCCUGUACCUAAUACGUACGGGAGAUGAUGGUACCACUAGAGAAAGCACCGGCAAACUUCGUGCCAGCAGCCGCGGUAAUACGAAGGGUGCAAGCGUUAUUCGGAGUUACUGGGCGUAAAGAGCACGUAGGCGGUUUUUUAAGUCACUUGUUAAAUUUCCCAGCUUAACUGGGAGCAGGCGGGUGAAACUGGAAGACUAGAGUGUAAGAGAGAGAAGUGGAAUUCUCGGAGUAGCGGUAAAAUGCGUAGAUCUCGAGAGGAACACCGGAGGCGAAGGCGGCUUCUUGGCUUACAACUGACGCUCAAGUGCGAAAGCGUGGGGAGCAAACAGG
RNAcentral lists this ribosomal RNA (429 nucleotides) under uncultured bacterium. RNAcentral describes it as "bacterial SSU rRNA". It matches the Rfam family "Bacterial small subunit ribosomal RNA", at positions 355 to 776 of the family's 1533-position model. The record is from RNAcentral.